GAUGAACGCUGGCGGCGUGCCUAAUACAUGCAAGUAGAACGCCGAAGGAAGGAGCUUGCUCUUUCCGGAUGAGUUGCGAACGGGUGAGUAACGCGUAGGUAACCUGCCUGGUAGCGGGGGAUAACUAUUGGAAACGAUAGCUAAUACCGCAUAACAGUAGAUGUUGCAUGAUAUCUACUUAAAAGGUGCAAUUGCACCACUACCAGAUGGACCUGCGUUGUAUUAGCUAGUUGGUGAGGUAACGGCUCACCAAGGCGACGAUACAUAGCCGACCUGAGAGGGUGAUCGGCCACACUGGGACUGAGACACGGCCCAGACUCCUACGGGAGGCAGCAGUAGGGAAUCUUCGGCAAUGGACGGAAGUCUGACCGAGCAACGCCGCGUGAGUGAAGAAGGUUUUCGGAUCGUAAAGCUCUGUUGUAAGAGAAGAACGAGUGUGAGAGUGGAAAGUUCACACUGUGACGGUAUCUUACCAGAAAGGGACGGCUAACUACGUG
Molecule: ribosomal RNA, 497 nt
Filed under: uncultured bacterium
Lineage: Bacteria
Description: partial 16S ribosomal RNA
Rfam family: Bacterial small subunit ribosomal RNA
Source: RNAcentral